UGACGUGUCCGAUAAAGGGACGGUGAAUAAAAUUCAGGAGAUUAAUCAUGAUGACGUGUUCUGUGAGUACAUUGAACACAAGGCCAUACUUGACACUGUUGAGGGAAUCACCGGACCCAAUAUAAUGGCAAUGCAUAGUAUGCUGAUUGCUAAGCCUCCCGAUUGUGGAACCAACAGCAGCAAUCAUCCACCCCAUCAAGACCUGUACUAUUUCCCUUUUCGUCCAGUGGAUCGUAUAGUGGCUGCUUGGACUGCCAUUGAACCAUGCGACACUCUCAAUGGAUGUCUAUUUGUAUCGCCUGGUUCACAUUUGGAACAGAAAUUAUAUCCUCACGAUUAUCCACCAGGUGCAAAUAACAAUUCUUCAUUGCUUUUGCCACGAUUUUCCUUAGAAUCUGCAAAGUACGAUGAGAUGGCAGAACCUGGAAAUGCAACCGGGUGACACAGUUUUCUUUCAUCCAUUGUUAAUUCACGGUUCUGGGGUAAACAAAUCCAAUAGAACGAGAAAAGCAAUAUCCUGUCACUACGCUGCUGCAGAAUGCCAUUAUAUCGAUGUCAGUGGUUCUGUUCAAGAUACGAUCAAGAAAGAAAUAGUCGAGGUAAAGAGGAAACGCUACGCUUCUGAUGACAUGGCAUGGGAAGACUUUUUCCGUUUGAAAGCCAGUCUUGUUCGUGGUAUGAGAUCGAACUUGUGAGAAAAUUAAUUGAAAUAUUAUAUACGACCAUAGCAUCUGAACCAAGCACUAGAACAGAAUUUUUUAACGGAAAUUUAGCCUCUCUAUGAUCUGCCACAAAAUAAACAACAUUUUUUGAACCGCCACAAGUAUAAACUUAAUGAGAGCCUCCAAAGUGGCACAAAUUUUAAAUUUUUAGUUCACUUUUAAACGUAGACAAGUAGGUCAUGUCAAACAGAUUUAUAGAAAUUCGCACAAAUAAUUGUCAAAUAUUGUUCUUUAAUGAAAAUAGGUCAAUAAACAAUCAGAUGAAACAUUUAUUUAUCGAAACCUUAGACGAAUUAUAUAUAGACUGGAAAUAACGAACAAAAUUACGUAAAAAUUGUGUCAUCGACAUGAAAAACGAAAUAUUUGAUAGUGUGAGAAUUGGUGGGCAAAUUAGCGCGAAGGUUUCGAAAUUUUUUGCUACACAAAUCCUUUGAAUUAAAAAAA
This is a long non-coding RNA of Bradysia coprophila, 1166 nucleotides long. The record is from RefSeq and is a predicted model, not a curated record. Lineage: Eukaryota; Metazoa; Arthropoda; Insecta; Diptera; Sciaridae.